Molecule: ribosomal RNA, 313 nt
Filed under: uncultured Gammaproteobacteria bacterium
Lineage: Bacteria; Pseudomonadati; Pseudomonadota; Gammaproteobacteria
Description: bacterial SSU rRNA
Rfam family: Bacterial small subunit ribosomal RNA
Source: RNAcentral
AAGGUGGGGACGACGUCAAGUCAUCAUGGCCCUUACGGGAUGGGCUACACACGUGCUACAAUGGUCAGUACAGAGGGUCGCGAAGCGGUGACGUGGAGCUAAUCUCAGAAAGCUGGUCGUAGUCCGGAUUGAAGUCUGCAACUCGACUUCAUGAAGUUGGAAUCGCUAGUAAUCGCAGAUCAGAAUGCUGCGGUGAAUACGUUCCCGGGCCUUGUACACACCGCCCGUCACACCAUGGGAGUGGGUUGCAAAAGAAGUGGGUAGACUAACCUUCGGGAGGUCGCUCACCACUUUGUGAUUCAUGACUGGGGUG